AGAGUUUGAUCCUGGCUCAGAUUGAACGCUGGCGGCAUGCUUUACACAUGCAAGUCGAGCGGCAGCGCGGGGGCAACCCUGGCGGCGAGCGGCGAACGGGUGAGUAACACAUCGGAACGUAUCCCGUAGAGGGGGAUAGCCCGGCGAAAGCCGGAUUAAUACCGCAUAUGCUCUACGGAGGAAAGCAGGGGACCUGAAAGGGCCUUGCGCUAUGGGAGCGGCCGAUGUCCGAUUAGCUUGUUGGCGGGGUAAUGGCCCACCAAGGCGACGAUCGGUAGCUGGUCUGAGAGGAUGAUCAGCCACACUGGGACUGAGACACGGCCCAGACUCCUACGGGAGGCAGCAGUGGGGAAUUUUGGACAAUGGGGGAAACCCUGAUCCAGCCAUGCCGCGUGAGUGAAGAAGGCCUUCGGGUUGUAAAGCUCUUUUGGUCGGAAAGAAGGAGUUCGGGUGAAUAACCUGGAUUUUUGACGGUACCGGCAGAAUAAGCACCGGCUAACUACGUGCCAGCAGCCGCGGUAAUACGUAGGGUGCGAGCGUUAAUCGGAAUUACUGGGCGUAAAGAGUGCGUAGGCGGUCUUUCGAGUCCGUUGUGAAAGCCCCGGGCUCAACCUGGGAAUGGCAGUGGAAACUAGAAGACUUGAAUCUGGCAGAGGGGGGUGGAAUUCCACGUGUAGCAGUGAAAUGCGUAGAGAUGUGGAGGAACACCGAUGGCGAAGGCAGCCCCCUGGGCUGAGAUUGACGCUCAGGCACGAAAGCGUGGGGAGCAAACAGGAUUAGAUACCCUAGUAGUCC
RNAcentral lists this ribosomal RNA (795 nucleotides) under uncultured bacterium. RNAcentral's name for it is "bacterial SSU rRNA". It matches the Rfam family "Bacterial small subunit ribosomal RNA", at positions 8 to 796 of the family's 1533-position model. The record is from RNAcentral.